UUAACUGAAGAGUUUGAUCAUGGCUCAGAUUGAACGCUGGCGGCAGGCCUAAGACAUGCAAGUCGAACGGUAACGACACUAGCUUGCUAGUGGUCGACGAGUGGCGGACGGGUGAGUAACGCGUAGGAAUCU
Molecule: ribosomal RNA, 132 nt
Filed under: Gammaproteobacteria bacterium
Lineage: Bacteria; Pseudomonadati; Pseudomonadota; Gammaproteobacteria
Description: partial 16S ribosomal RNA
Rfam family: Bacterial small subunit ribosomal RNA
Source: RNAcentral